Molecule: ribosomal RNA, 265 nt
Filed under: uncultured archaeon
Lineage: Archaea
Description: partial 16S ribosomal RNA
Rfam family: Archaeal small subunit ribosomal RNA
Source: RNAcentral
ACACGACUACAUUAGAUACCCCCCGUAGUCCCAGCCCUAAACGAUGCGCGUUAGGUGUAUCGGUGACCACGAGUCACCGAGGUGCCGAAGGGAAACCGUGAAACGUGCCGCCUGGGAAGUACGGUCGCAAGGCUGAAACUUAAAGGAAUUGGCGGGGAGCACCACAACGGGUGGAGCCUGCGGUUUAAUUGGACUCAACGCCGGGAAGCUUACCGGAUAAGACAGCGGAAUGAUUGCCGGGCUGAAGACCCUGCAUGACAAGCUG